RNAcentral lists this long non-coding RNA (1855 nucleotides) under Salmo trutta (river trout). Its description in RNAcentral is "lncRNA (ENSSTUG00000049361.1)". Lineage: Eukaryota; Metazoa; Chordata; Actinopteri; Salmoniformes; Salmonidae. The record is from RNAcentral.
UCUGGUGUUAAGUGAUAGAACAUCAGAUAUCAUUUCAGAAUUCUUAUUCCUGUCUCUCUCCUGUAGUCUUUAGAGUCAGUGAUGAAGGGCUUGGACCAGGAGCUCCAGGAGAAAGAUUAUAUCAUAUCCCAGCUACAGGAGGUUGUCAAUAGGAACUCAGAGGAUCUAGAGGUAGAGUGACAAUUCUAAGUAAUUAUUUGGUUAUUCUUAUAUAAUUACCAUUUCACAGUGUAAUUUCUAGUUGUGGAAUAAAAAUUGGGAAUGUAUUGUACCUAUUUCUGGACUGUUUGUCUCAUCUCAUUCCCCAGAUCAUGGUUGGCCGGUUGCAUAGCCAGGCUGAGUGUAGCAACAAAGAGCUGGGGCAACUGGAACAGAGGCUAAAAGAGACAGAAGCCAUUUUGCUUCAGACAACCCAGGAAAAGGAGACACAGAUGACAGACCAUCAACUUGAAAUUGAGAAACUGCAGGGUGAAGCUGAAGACAGCAACAGGAAGUUGGAGCAGCUGGAGGAGAAACUCAAGGAAAUGGAGGACAUUUUGUCUCAUACCACUGGCAAAUAUCUGCAGGACAAUCAACUUACAGACAGGAAACUGCAGGGUCAAGCAGAGGACAGAGACAGGAAGUUGGAGCAGCUGGAACAGAGACUUAAGGAGACUGUGGACAUUUUGGCUCAGAUCACUGAUGAUAAGGACAAACUGUUGCUAGAAAAUCAACUGGCAGAACAGAAACUACAGAGCCAGACUGAGGAUAGUAGUAUGAAGCUGGAGCAACUGGAUCAGAUGUUGAAAGAGAAGGAUGUGCUGUUCAUGCAGAGCACAGCAGACAAGGAGAUACAGCUGACAAACUACAAACUCACAGUAGAGAAGCUAAUGUCUUACAUCACCAUCAAUGAACAGAUGUUCAAGGAGUUGAGAGAACAUCACAGCCAGAUGCUGGCCAAGCAUACGCUGGAGCUUGAGGACUGUGGGAAGAGGCAGGAUCAGCUAUCCACAGCACAGAUUCAGAUCUCUGCCUCCCUGCAAGAGAAGUGCUCAGAGGUCUCUGAACAUAGACUCCUGACUGAGAGGGAGCAAGUCAUCAAGGUACUGUAGACCAUCAGAACUGGAGUCAAUUAUAUUGGAAUUCAAUCAAUUAUCUACAGUUCCCAUGUCUAAUUUCCUACUCUUAUCAAUCUUACUGUGUGUUUUUGAUUAGGGCCUGGACCAUUUUGCAGUCCAAAGGGAGGGGGGGAGAACUAAUCCCUGUCAGAGAGAGACUCUGGACCCUGACAACCACACCAUCCCAGAGAACAGUGAAGGUGAGUGUAAGUGGUCUGUCUGUGGUCUGGGGUGGUCUGUAGCUGAAGUGUAAUUGUAAAAGACUCAUAAAGACUCUUACUCUCUCAUUCCCCUUUCCUUUCUUCCUCCCUCUCUUUUAUUUUCCAUUUCACUCUCUCCACCUCCCUCUUCCCAGUUCCUUCAACUGAGGCUGGCCCGACCAAGUGUGAGAGGUGUCUCCAACUUUUGCAGAGGGAGAAUGGCAGUCUGCUGGACAGACUGAGAGCUAGCAAGCACCUCAACAAGACCCUGCGCAGCCAGCUGGACCUGUGCAGAUCCAUUAUGGCUCAGAGAGAGGGGGGUGAUGGACGCAGUUUCUCCCCCUCCAACUCACUCACAGUGGAAGAAGAAAUGAAGGAGCAGCUGCAGGAGAUCUUGAGGCUGAGACAGAGUCUGGAGGAGAGCAUCCAGGCAAACGGGAGGCUCCAGGAGCAUCUGAAGAACCAUAAGGCCCAGCAGGUAGCAACUCAGACUGGAGCCCAGCAGGCAGGGACAGAGAUGGGCCAGAACCACCCAGGUCAGUCAGACAUAGGGAUCAU